ACUGCCAUUCUGGAAGUGGACACCACUAACUGGGUUUUGGCACGACAGUUAUGAAAAAGAAAGACACUUGAGGGAUUCCGGGUUUUCACUUUGGAAUUGGAGAUAAGGGAUCGUGGGCCCGUGUAGUCUCGGAAGAGGUUGUGUAGUUUAGGAUCAAAGAGCUGGCCGUGAUGAGGGCAGGGAUGCAGGCGCAGCCCGUCUGACUCCAAACUGCCUUGCUCUUAACCCGACUGCAAGACCCUCAAGAACACGGGCCCCAUGGUUUUCCUCUUAUGUUUCUAUCAUCUCUAAAAUACAACAGCCUGGUGGGCAGGCCCUGCUUGCCCUGCUCUGCUGGCUCUGGCAUGGGCUGGCUCACCCUGCCAGCUGGCUACAGCCCCUGGGCCCGCCAGCCACCCCGCCUGGCUCACCACCCUGCAGUUUGCUCCUGGACAGCAGCCUCUCCAGCAACUGGGAUGACGACAGCCUAGGGUGGGUUCAAGUGCAGGGUAUGGGGGGCUAGGGGGAAGGUGGGGGAUAUCACCGGGGCUCCAUGGAGAUUCGUGGUGAAUGGGGACCACUCCCACAAACCUGGCCCCCAUCACAUCCUGGGGAAGGGGACCA
Molecule: long non-coding RNA, 603 nt
Filed under: Homo sapiens (human)
Lineage: Eukaryota; Metazoa; Chordata; Mammalia; Primates; Hominidae
Description: non-protein coding lnc-CLDN6-3:1
Source: RNAcentral